UACGAAGGGAGCUAGCGUUGUUCGGAAUCACUGGGCGGAAAGCGCACGUAGGCGGAUUUGCCAGUCAGGGGUGAAAUCCCGGGGCUCAACCUCGGAACUGCCUUUGAUACAGCAAGUCUUGAGUUCGAGAGAGGUGGGUGGAAUUCCUAGUGUAGAGGUGAAAUUCGUAGAUAUUAGGAAGAACACCGGUGGCGAAGGCGGCCCACUGGAUCGGUACUGACGCUGAGGUGCGAAAGCGUGGGGAGCAAACAGG
RNAcentral lists this ribosomal RNA (253 nucleotides) under uncultured bacterium. Its description in RNAcentral is "partial 16S ribosomal RNA". It matches the Rfam family "Bacterial small subunit ribosomal RNA", at positions 524 to 776 of the family's 1533-position model. The record is from RNAcentral.